Molecule: long non-coding RNA, 2854 nt
Filed under: Homo sapiens (human)
Lineage: Eukaryota; Metazoa; Chordata; Mammalia; Primates; Hominidae
Description: non-protein coding LINC00426:16
Source: RNAcentral
UAGAAAGCUCUCAGUACAGCAUAGAUAUUAUUAUUAUUCCUCUGCUAGACUACAAAAUCUCUGAGGGCAGGGACCUCUUCUUGGAUAUCUUUGAACCCCUCCAUAACAGUGGGCAAAGUGUCUGUCAGAGGGUUUUAAUGAAUGCAUCACACAAAAGAGACCGUACUGAACAAGAGAGACAGGAAGCUUGGAUAAUUAUUUGAAUAUCUACAGUCAUCAGAAGGCUUAUAAAUGUAAAGCCAAAGCUCCUGCCAAAGAAAUGUGUGGAGCAGAAAAGAAAACCCAGAGCAGAAUGUCAAGAGCAAGGAUGUGUUGGGACAGGAAAUGAAGACGAGAUUGGGAGAGGUCAUGCAGAAUCAGGUCACAUUCUGGAGGGAAGAAGGAGCAAAGGCACAUGAUGAGAGAGUGCUAAUUAAGGUGGCCAAAGAGAACAGUGUGGUGCUGUAAAUGCCGGCAGAGCAAGGAGCCCUGCUGCCAGCCUGACCCAACACAGUCACGUUGAUGAAAAUGGAAAAGGAUGGCUGGAGGUAAUGAUAAUGUAUUACAGAUUGCAAAAUCGCUAGAAGAGAGGGUUUUGAAUGUUCUCAUCCCAAAGAAAUAAUAAAUGUUUAAGGUGCUGGAUGUGUUAAUUACCUUGAUUCGAUCAUUACACAAUGUACACUUGUACUGAAACAUCACAUUGUACCCCAUAAGUAUGUGCAAUCAUGUCAAUCAUAAAUUUAAAAAUUAAAUUUUUUAAAAAAGGAAAAACAAUCUUUCCACCACACAAAUCAUUUUCUGAGCCUGCACAUUGGCAUUCAUCUUUCCUCCUACGCUUGUGGCCUUAAAGAGGAGGAGUAUGAUUGGCAGCGUGGCAGCCUCUCGAUAUUUACGGACCCUAGCGCUCACUCCUGGCUUCAAUGGUGUUUUCAGCUGGAGCCUCUUCCUGCCAUUCCUUUCCUCUCUGCAUGGCUGCUGAUGCUCAUCCGGGAGCAGGAAAUGAGUGCAUUCUUGGGCUUUUCUGCAAUUAGUCUUCUAAAGAGAAAAACAAAACCAAACAAGAAAGAAAACUGAAGGUUUAGGGAUAUUCUAAAAACUUUUACAGGCUGGCCAUUGAUGGAGGCCAGUAAAGAACGGUGGAGGCUGGCGACUCAGCCCCUCUGGAUUGGGGGUUUGUGGGAAUUUAUCUCGGGCUCUCUUAUGUUUAUUCUACACUUCCAAAUAACUUUGAAGGUUUAUUUGGAGAUUCCAAUAUGGGAGAGGAGGCCCUUGCAAACUCUUGAGUGUGCAGCGCCCCAUUUUUUGGGGGGAGAAAAUGGCUUUGGGAGAGCAUGCAGAGGGGAUAGGGCACUCAAAUCUCCACCCCAUAGAUCACUGUGUCGCCUCUCAGGUAGGGGUGUGCUGAAUAAAUUAAAGGUAUUAUUGUAAGUUGGAAGUGUGCUAGAGCCAGGUUGCAGAGGCACACUCUCAAAUCCGCCUUCAGUGAAACCACAGAAAUAUCCAAAUACUACACAUGGGGGCUUUUUUUCCCCUUCCCUGAGAAUCAGCUGGUAAUUUACUGGCAUGUCACUGCAUAUAAACAAAAUCCAAGAGGAAUCAGUUAACCUGCUGGACUGAACAAGGAGUUUGGCAUAAAACUGGCCAGAUAAACAGAUAAGGCUGAUUGUGUUAUGUCUCCCUUCCUUAAUGGAAGCCUGAUAGGAAUGAGGCCCACGGUGACUCAGCAGUUAGUUCCCUUUACUGCGUAGCCUUGGAAGUAAUGGAGUGGGCUUUCAUGAUUUUGCUUCUUUCUUCUUUUCCACUGAAAUGGAGGCCUUCAGUUGCAAAGUUCUCCAUUGUCAGAUUACGCUGCCUGAUGGGCAUGAAAAGUCCACAAAAGAGAAUUUUCUGAUGUGAGAAUGGAGGGUGUUGCCUGCAACUACCCCAGAUCCCUGCGGUGGCAGUUUAAGCCGCCUCCUGGAGCAGAUUGUUAAGCUGAUGCGAGUCUGGGCUCUGCCUCACCACUUGUCUCAGAGACAGAGUCUUGCUCUGUCACCUAGGCUGGAGUGCAGUGGUGCCAUCACAGCUCACUGCAGCCUCGACCUCCCCGUGCUCAAGUGAUCCUCACACCUCAGCCUCCCGAGUAGCCGCGAUCACAAGUUAAACAAACACAGUUCUUUACAUCAAUGCUUCCGUCCCUGGCCAUCUGGUCUCCUGUCCCCUCCAGACCCAAAACCAUGGGCUGGGCUGCAGCAAAAUGAGGGUGUACUCAGUGCACUGAGGCCCAUGUACCAUGAGAGAUGGAGAAAGCCUUGGCCGGAGUUUAAGGAUUUGGGGCUGGGCACAGUGGCUCGUGCCUGUAAUCCUAGCACUUUGGGAGGCCAAGGCAGGAGGAUCACUUGAGGCCAAGAGUUUGAGACCAGCCUGAGCAACAUAGUGAGACUCUCAUUUCUAAAAAUAAAAAAGUUAGGCCUGGCACAGUGGCUCAUGCCUAUAAUCCCAGCAGUUUGGGAAGCUGAAUCAAGAGGAUCACUUGAGGCCAGGAGUUUGAGCCCAGCCUGGUCAACAUAGUGAGACUUUAUCACUACAAAAAGUUUUUAUUUAUUUAUUUUUUUUGAGACAGGGUCUCGAUUCAUCACUUAGGCUGGAGUGGAGUGUGCAAUCACAGCUCACAGCUCACAGCAGCCUCGACCUCCUGGGUUCAAGCCAUCCUCCCACCUCAGCCUCCUGAGUAGCUGGGACUACAGGCAUACACCACCAUGUCUGGCUAAAUUUUUGUACUUUUUGUAGAGACAGGGUUUCGCCAUGUUGCCCAGGCUGGUCUCUAGCUCCUGGGCUCAAGCAAUCUGCCUGCCUCAGCCUCCCAGAGGCCUGGAACUACAGGCGUGAGCCGCUG